GUGCUCGAGUGGCGAACGGGUGAGUAACCCGUGAGUAACCUGCCCUUGACUUUGGGAUAACUUCAGGAAACUGGGGCUAAUACCGGAUAGGAGCUCCUGCUGCAUGGUGGGGGUUGGAAAGUUUCGGCGGUUGGGGAUGGACUCGCGGCUUAUCAGCUUGUUGGUGGGGUAGUGGCUUACCAAGGCUUUGACGGGUAGCCGGCCUGAGAGGGUGACCGGCCACAUUGGGACUGAGAUACGGCCCAG
Molecule: ribosomal RNA, 246 nt
Filed under: uncultured Actinomycetales bacterium
Lineage: Bacteria; Bacillati; Actinomycetota; Actinomycetes; Actinomycetales
Description: partial 16S ribosomal RNA
Rfam family: Bacterial small subunit ribosomal RNA
Source: RNAcentral